GUUCAUGAAAAAAUAAUAAAUUAUAAAUGUAUUUCUAUAAAGUUUAAUUUUUAUAUAUUGUUUAUGUAAAAAUUUUAAUGUUUUCAAAUAUAUUCUUACCGUUAGAAUCCGUUAAAAAAUUUUAAUUAACCAUAAGUUAAAUUUUUAACUCUCGUUAAUUUAUGAGAUAAUUUAACAUUUUUGUUCUUUUUAUAUUACACUAUUGUAGCUUUUGGAAGGAUAUUUUCGUGAUGGCAAAAUUAAUAUUUUAAUUAAAAUAUAAAUGGUUUUAUACUGGUAACAAAUCAGAGGGACAUAUUUGAAAAUAUUAAAAUUUUUGUAGGAAUAACAUAUAAAAGUUGAACUUUAUAGAAACAUAUUUGCAAUUCACUCUACCCCAGGGACGGAGCUAUUAAGGGGCCACAAUGGCUAUGGCCCCCCCUAAAUUUUUCAAAAUCAUAUAAAAGCCCUUUAUAAUAAAAAUUAAAAUAUUAUAAAUUUUAAUUUUAGAGGGCCAAAUUAAUUUUUUUUAAAAAAUUUGUGUCUCAAUUUUUUUUUCAAAUUUCUUCGUCCUUUUCCUUCAACUAUUACAGUCUUGUUUCUUUUUGAGUAUAUUGUCGUGAUCAGUGAAUCUGACAAAUUUUUUUUCUUAUUAUCUGAGAUCGAAUUUUUUUCCUAUCAAAUUUAAAUUUCUGGCUUCGUCCCUGCUCUACCCUAUUCGAAAAUACGAUAUGAGAUAGACCAAAAGAGUAAUUAAUUGAUUAAAAUGAAUAUCAUAUUUAAGUUUUAAAUUAUUUUCAAAAAUGUAUAAAGUACAGAUCAUAAACUUUUUAAGAUACAAUAACUAAAUUUCUAAUUUUUGAUUGGACAAUUUUUUUUAUACAAAACAUAUUAAUAGUACCAAGUCAUCAGUGCGAUUAGAUUUUUGGUCAUUGAAUGAAAAGAUGUUCUGUAACGACCCAGCCCACUAGCAACAAUAACUCGUUGGGCCCAACAACCGGCCCAAAAUGCUUAAGCCCAGUUAUUAUUACUACUGUCUAAAUCUCUUAUAAACCCAAUGACAACUCCUUUCCCAUCCGAUGUGGGACUAUUGGGGUGUCAUAGACUCCUCCCGUUAAGGCCCUGACGUCCUCGUCAAUCCAAUCACACACACAGUGCAAGAUCACCAGGCGAUGUGAGACUCGUCUCGCUAGCCCGUCAUCCAGACCCUGGCUCAGCCGAGACUCGCCACACAUGUCCAACUGGUGAACCGGCUCUGAUACCAAAUGCAACGACCCAGCCCACUAGCAAUAAUAACUCAUUGGGCCCAGCCAACAGCCCAAAAUGCUUAAGCCCAGUUAUUAUUACUAGUGUCUAAAUCUCUUAUAAACCCAAUAACAACUCCUUUCCCAUCCGAUGUGGGACUAUUGGGGUGUCACAUGUUCGGUUAGGAUGAUAGCGAUCCAUUAAGAUUGAGUGAGUAGUUUGUUGAAUAGUAUGAUCUAAUAGGUAAAAAUGGUUAAUGGAGUAGAUCUAAUGACAGAAAACUUUUAGCGCCAAGCUCUUGGUGCUAUUAAUAGUGUUGUCAUUAUUACAACAAAAAAGGUGUAUAGUGACACUUUUACAACAAAAAAUGUGUAUAGCGAUACUUUUAAAUGUCGGUACAGGUCAAAUAGAGUGCUGCUGGUUAAAUUACCAAUACUUUUUAAAAGUGUUGCUAUAUGUAGGGUUACUAUAGAUAGAGUCGUCUUAAUAUUUGGUACUCACUCUUCCAGCGACCUGUGGCUGAGGGAUACGUGACGAUUGUAGCCCUCUACGGUCCCUAUAAGAUUCUCGUGGCCGAACUCCAGUCGCCGGAACCCUAGCUCUCGUCGGCUGCAAAUGCGGAGGAGGAGAAGGGGAGAUGGUGAUCAAUUUUUUUUUUCCUUUUUUAUUUGUAAUCAAGCCGAGUGGGCUGGUUGUAGUUGGUUGAGUAGAGAAAUUUUUUAUUUUUGAUUUGAUUGGGCUUUAAAUUUUGGUCUUAAUAGAUUUUUUAAAAAAGUUUAGGCAUAAAUGGGAUACAUAUAUAAAAGUGUCUCAAAAAUAUAGCCCUAUAAUUUUCUCAAAAAAAAAAAAAAUAUCCCUAUAAUCUAAUUCUCUUGUAGUGCAUGUGGUGUGUCCACAUUGGCCCGUUCAAAUUCAACACGAGCCAUAUUAGAUGUGGAU
Molecule: long non-coding RNA, 2163 nt
Filed under: Ananas comosus (pineapple)
Lineage: Eukaryota; Viridiplantae; Streptophyta; Magnoliopsida; Poales; Bromeliaceae
Description: long non-coding RNA (ACOM_LNC012782)
Source: RNAcentral